UGGGGAAUCUUGGACAAUGGGGGCAACCCUGAUCCAGCCAUGCCGCGUGAGUGAUGAAGGCCUUAGGGUCGUAAAGCUCUUUCGCCUGUGAAGAUAAUGACGGUAGCAGGUAAAGAAACCCCGGCUAACUCCGUGCCAGCAGCCGCGGUAAUACGGAGGGAGCUAGCGUUGUUCGGAAUUACUGGGCGUAAAGCGUACGUAGGCGGCUUGGUAAGUAGAGGGUGAAAUCCCGGAGCUCAACUCCGGAACUGCCCCCUAAACUGCUGAGCUAGAAUCCUGGAGAGGUGAGUGGAAUUCCUAGUGUAGAGGUGAAAUUCGUAGAUAUUAGGAAGAACACCAGUGGCGAAGGCGACUCACUGGACAGGUAUUGACGCUGAGGUACGAAAGCGUGGGGAGCGAACAGGAUUAGAUACCCUGGUAGUCCACGCCGUAAACGAUGGGGUGCUAGGUGUUGGGUAGCUUGCUAUUCGGUGACACACCUAACGGAUUAAGCAUUCCGCCU
RNAcentral lists this ribosomal RNA (502 nucleotides) under uncultured bacterium. RNAcentral describes it as "bacterial SSU rRNA". It matches the Rfam family "Bacterial small subunit ribosomal RNA", at positions 355 to 874 of the family's 1533-position model. The record is from RNAcentral.